UGAAUACAGAAAGAAGUUAUAAUUCAACAUCUCUAUUUAGGAAGAAACCCACCAAUAUUCACAUAAAUAAGGGUUCUUCGUGAAUCUGCAGGAGAUAAUCACUUGGAAGAGCAUAGCAGUAAGAGGUCCGAGAUUUCUAGGAAAUCUUCAUCUAGCAUCAGACCGUCAAAUACUUUAUUUGCCAUAAAUUUUGAUCCAUACAGUAUUAGAGCAUAGCAGUAAGAGGUCCGAGAUUUCUAGGAAAUCUUCAUCUAGCAUCAGACCGUCAAAUACUUUAUUUGCCAUAAAUUUUGAUCCAUACAGUAUUAGAGGCACAUUGAUCCUUAUGGGAAAAUACCCAAUAUAAGAAUUAGAAGAAAUUAAGUGUUUGUUCAAUACGAAGCUCAGGAAGAUGCUAAUAGAGCCUUGGAUGCAACUAACAUGAGGUACAUGCUUUCCUCUGAAUUGGAUGCAUUGUCUACAAUUUUUGAAUCCUCACCUUGGUAUUCUUAACCCAAAAAAAUAUAUCACUGGAAGGCAUCCCAACUCAGGAAAAAAGAUGAGGGAGCAGCGACUCUUGAAAAAGGGACGGAUUUGGAGAACAAAUCAGAGAAGCAAAGGCGUUAUUGAACCUUUACCGAAGUAAAUCAAAGAAAGAAAAAAUGUAAAAGUCCAAGAAAAAUGCGAUGUCUUGGUUAAAAGUUGAUAAACUUUCAAUUGCAAAUAAGGGUCUUUAUUCAUGUGGAAAAAGAUAUUUCUAUCUAGAUCGUCUAAUGUAAACUGGAAGUCUGGAACAUACUGUUCUUCUUUCCAGUCAAUUCUUAAGACCGACAUAAGCUUUCAUUUUUUGGAUUAGAUUUUGUCACAUUGAUAAUUGUGUUUCAGGUCUUCUCAAUGUUAACAUGACUUUUUUUACAGUUAGAUAUGACCAUGUUAU
Molecule: long non-coding RNA, 916 nt
Organism: Solanum dulcamara
Lineage: Eukaryota; Viridiplantae; Streptophyta; Magnoliopsida; Solanales; Solanaceae
Exons: 4
Source: RefSeq, a predicted model, not a curated record